Non-coding RNA from Malus domestica (apple), 1776 nucleotides. NCBI's taxonomy places the organism in Eukaryota, Viridiplantae, Streptophyta, Magnoliopsida, Rosales, Rosaceae. The record is from RefSeq and is a predicted model, not a curated record.
GUGAAUAACAGAAGCAAGCGCGUCGCAGUGUAUCACCCUCCGUUCUCCUUCCCCAAAAUCCCAAUUCCAUCGAUUUGGCAUCACUUCCCUCUCUACCUUCAGUCUCAGAGCAGCUUCCGAUCACUUCCCUCUCUCCCUUCGAAACAAUCAGUUUAUAAACCCAUUAUCUCCUUCAUGUCGCUUCCAAAUGAAGAAAAUGAAAUGUCCUCUUCUCCCGAUGCUCAGCUUUCGUCUCAUGUUUUUGGGGCCCUCCUCGAUUCAAUUAUUGUUGAUGUUGCAUCUGAGUGUCAUCGAAUAGCAAAGUUGGGUCUUGAUCGUAAUUUUGAAGAAGAGGAAGAAGAACUAAGGCUUUCAGCCCAAGCACGGGUGAGGGUAGCUGAUCCUGGUAAUAGUGGUGAAGCAAAUGGCAAGUACGUGGUUGACAUAUUUGGGCAGAAUCAUCCUUCUGUAGCCAGUGAAGUGUUUGAGUGCAUGAAUUGUGGUCGGUCUAUCGUUGCUGGGAGGUUUGCUCCUCAUCUGGAGAAGUGUAUGGGAAAGGGUAGAAAGGCUCGCCUCAAAGUGACAAGAAGUAGCACGGCUGCACAGACUCGGAAUUCACGGGGAAACUCUGCAUCUACAUACUCCACAUAUUCAAAUUCCAACAGCACAAACCGAUUAUCAAAUGGAGCAUCCGCUGUUGCUGGUGAGGAGUACUCGAUUGGUGCAUUGGAAGAGCCAUGAAACAGUAAGAACUGCUGCAGUGCAAACUCAAGGCCCCUCACAACAUCAUUCAUCGACGGUCGUUCGAUUCCUUUAUCAUCGAGGUUGAUUUGCCUAGUCUCCACCGUAUGCAGCGGAGCUGGCCUUGCACACAGUAUCUCCCACAAAACUACUCCAAAUGAGUACACAUCAGACUUCUCAGUAAGCUGUUGACGUCAGAAGUAAUCCAAGUCUAGAUACCCGAAACUACCUUUCACCAUGGUGCUGAUGUGCAUUUUGGACGUGUUGUUCGUGCCCAAUUUUUACAACCCGAAAUCUGAAACCUUGGCGACCAUUUUCUCAUCCAAUAAAUGGAAUGGACGAAGGAGCACUAUAUAUUUAUGGUUCAAACCACUGCUCUUGCGAUAUUAGCUUAUGUUGUUCUAAGUCCUAUUGAUUAGAAAAGCUAUUGUGAUCGUAAAAGAGGAGAAGGUUUUGAACACAGAGGCUGUUAUGGCUUCUUCAAGUUCAAAUUCUGCAGGUAUGUUCUCAGCAAUCCUUGUUCUUGUUCAUAAGUUUUGUCACUUGACUUGUUUCAGAACAUUGGUAAUUCAAUUGGCAUAUCAUCGAUCUGUGUUAGAGUUCUUACAUGUGGUAUCAGAGCCUAGUUGAUUAUUGUCAUUGAGUUCGAAAUUUACACAAGAAUCUGAUGGAAAAGCUAUGAACACUUAAACGUUCCAAACCCAGAAAACGUAUAACCUUGUUUAAAUUGAAUAUUGGCAAAACGCAUAACCUUGUUCGAAAUUUUCUGGGUUUGCACCUUUUUUCUCUUCUUGGUUUGAAGUUGUGAUGAUCCAAACAUGCUUUGCUUCUAGAUCUUCUCGUUCACAACCAUCUUUAUUUAAGAUUUGGAUUUGCGAUAAUAUAUAUUUUUCUUUUGUUCCCAAAGGUAUGUUUAUAAUUCAAAACUCCUGAUGUAUUAUAUCGAGUUUAUUGAAUUUUGAUCCUUGAUACAUACAAAACUCCUGAUGUAAUAUAUACAAUACUGCAAUCUUUAUACAUGAUUGAUGCUAAGAUUGAUACGAUCCUGAAACCAUU